Zea mays is the source of this 108-nucleotide non-coding RNA. The record is from Rfam. NCBI's taxonomy places the organism in Eukaryota, Viridiplantae, Streptophyta, Magnoliopsida, Poales, Poaceae.
ACUCUAGUAUUGACCCCAAUACACAUGGGUUGAGGAGGAUUGGGUGUAAAUUAAACUAAUUUACAUCUCAAUCCACCUCAACUCAUGUGUAUUGGGGUCAAUACUAGA